GGGCGUGUGGUCUAGUGGUAUGACGUCUGCUUCGCACUAAAUUGCGAUCGAACAAGGGUCAAACCUUGAAUCAGCAGAAGGUCCCGGGUUCAAAUCCCGUCUCGUCCA
This is a non-coding RNA of Malassezia sympodialis ATCC 42132, 108 nucleotides long. Lineage: Eukaryota; Fungi; Basidiomycota; Malasseziomycetes; Malasseziales; Malasseziaceae. The record is from Rfam.